GACGAACGCUGGCGGCGUGCUUAACACAUGCAAGUCGAACGGAAAGGCCCUGCUUGCCGGGUACUCGAGUGGCGAACGGGUGAGUAACACGUGGGUGAUCUGCCCUGCACUUCGGGAUAAGCCUGGGAAACUGGGUCUAAUACCGGAUAGGAGCCAUUUUUAGUGUGAUGGUUGGAAAGUUUUUUCGGUGUAGGACGAGCUCGCGGCCUAUCAGCUUGUUGGUGGGGUAAUGGUCUACCAAGGCGGCGACGGGUAGCCGGCCUGAGAGGGUGGACGGCCACAUUGGGACUGAGAUACGGCCCAGACGCCUACGGGAGGCAGCAGUGGGGAAGAUCGCACAAUGGGCGCAAGCCUGAUGCAGCGACGCCGCGUGGGGGAUGACGGCCUUCGGGUUGUAAACUCCUUUCGCUAGGGACGAAGCUUUUUGUGACGGUACCUAGAGAAGAAGCACCGGCUAACUACGUG
This 465-nucleotide ribosomal RNA is filed under the name uncultured bacterium. RNAcentral's name for it is "partial 16S ribosomal RNA". It matches the Rfam family "Bacterial small subunit ribosomal RNA", at positions 28 to 507 of the family's 1533-position model. The record is from RNAcentral.